UACGUAGGGGGGCAAGCGUUUGUCCGGAAUCAUUGGGCGUAAAGAGCGCGUAGGCGGUCCGGUAAGUCCGCUCUGAAAGUCCGGGGGCUCAACCCCCGGAAGGCGGGCGGAUACUGUCGGGCUAGAGUCCGGAAGAGGCGAGUGGAAUUCCUGGUGUAGCGGUGAAAUGCGCAGAUAUCGGGAGGAACACCAAUGGCGAAGGCAGCUCGCUGGGACGUUACGUGACGC
Molecule: ribosomal RNA, 228 nt
Filed under: uncultured bacterium
Lineage: Bacteria
Description: partial 16S ribosomal RNA
Rfam family: Bacterial small subunit ribosomal RNA
Source: RNAcentral